AGAGUUUGAUCAUGGCUCAGAGCGAACGCUGGCGGCAGGCCUAACACAUGCAAGUCGAGCGCCCCUCCUUCAAGCGAGCUUGGAGGAUUGCGGAGCGGUCUCCUUGGGCGGGCGAAAGCUCGCUUGACGGACAUCGCUGUGAGAUCAAGCGAGCCUUUAGGGGCUCGCUUGAUGGAGGGGAGCGGCAGACGGGAGAGUAACACGUGGGAACGUACCCUUUGGUUCGGAACAACCCAGGGAAACUUGGGCUAAUACCGAAUAAGCCCUUACGGGGAAAGAUUUAUCGCCGAAGGAUCGGCCCGCGUCUGAUUAGCUAGUUGGUGAGGUAACGGCUCACCAAGGCGACGAUCAGUAGCUGGUCUGAGAGGAUGAUCAGCCUCACUGGGACUGAGACACGGCCCAGACUCCUACGGGAGGCAGCAGUGGGGAAUAUUGGACAAUGGGCGCAAGCCUGAUCCAGCCAUGCCGCGUGGGUGAUGAAGGCCCUAGGGUUGUAAAGCCCUUUCGGCGGGGAAGAUAAUGACGGUACCCGCAGAAGAAGCCCGGCUACUUCGUGCCAGCAGCCGCGGUA
This 571-nucleotide ribosomal RNA is filed under the name uncultured Pseudomonadota bacterium. RNAcentral describes it as "bacterial SSU rRNA". It matches the Rfam family "Bacterial small subunit ribosomal RNA", at positions 8 to 522 of the family's 1533-position model. The record is from RNAcentral. Lineage: Bacteria; Pseudomonadati; Pseudomonadota.